CACACCACCACGCCAUACGUUUCGUUAGCGGAAGUGUAAUGGUCCCAUUGGUGGGAUGCGUGGCCAAUAAAGGGCAAGAAUAAGGCGGUUUCCUCCUUUCUCCUGGUUGACUACAUUCAUCCGCUGGACAUCAGUAUGAUGAAGAGAAUGAUCAUGAAUGGCAAAUGGCAGGUGCAGUGAAGCAAGAAAAGCUGGCUUCAGGCUCAGAAGAGAAUGCUGUGCCUCUUCCUCAUGGUUUCCGGUACCCUGCAUGUUCAGAGAAACUUCUCUAGUAAUGAAUGAACUGUAGAAAUGAUCCCUGAAAAUAUGGUCUUGACACUUUA
Molecule: long non-coding RNA, 323 nt
Organism: Piliocolobus tephrosceles (Ugandan red Colobus)
Lineage: Eukaryota; Metazoa; Chordata; Mammalia; Primates; Cercopithecidae
Exons: 2
Source: RefSeq, a predicted model, not a curated record